AGGGCGUAUGGUGGAUGCCUUGGCUCUGAGAGGCGAAGAAGGACGUGAUAAGCUGCGAUAAGCUGCGGGUAUUGGCAUAUACGAAUUGAUCCGCAGAUUUCCGAAUGGGGAAACCUAUCAUAUUUUUAUAUGAUAUUACUUUAUAGUAAAGCGAACCUAGAGAACUGAAACAUCUAAGUAUCUAGAGGAAAAGAAAACAAUAGUGAUUCUGUUAGUAGUGGCGAGCGAAAACGGAAUAGCCCAAACCAUUAUAGUCUAGGCUGUAAUGGGGUUAUAGGUCUACAAUAAAAUAUUAUUUUUUUAUAGCAGAAUGAUUUGGAAAGAUCAAUCAUAGAAGGUGAUAAUCCUGUAUGCAAAAUGAAAAAAUUAUAUGAGUAGUAACCUGAUUAGGACGGGACACGGGAAAUCUUGUCUGAAUUAGCCGGGACCAUCCGGUAAGGCUAAAUACUACUCAGAGACCGAUAGUGAACUAGUACCGUGAGGGAAAGGUGAAAAGUACUUCGAAUAGAAGGGUGAAAUAGAUCCUGAAACCAUACGCUUACAAACUGUCGGAGCUUUUUCGUGAAGUGACGGCGUGCCUUUUGCAUAAUGAACCUACGAGUUAAUUUUUCCGGCAAGGUUAAGUAGUUUAGCUAUGGAGCCGUAGCGAAAGCGAGUCUUAAUAGGGCGUAUAGUCGGAAGGAUUAGACGCGAAACCGAGUGAUCUAUCCAUGAGCAGGUUGAAGCUGUGGUAACACAUAGUGGAGGACCGAACCGGUUGACGUUGAAAAGUCUUCGGAUGACUUGUGGAUAGGGGUGAAAGGCCAAUCAAACUCGGAGAUAGCUCGUACUCCCCGAAAUGCAUUUAGGUGCAGCAUCGUGUUAAAUAAUACAGAGGUAGAGCUACUGAUUGGAUGAAGGGGUUUCAUCACCUACUUAUUCCUGACAAACUCCGAAUGCUGUUAUUAUGUUUCACGGUAGUGAGGGCAUGGGUGCUAAGGUCCAUGUCCAAGAGGGAAACAACCCAGAUCAUCAGUUAAGGCCCCUAAGUAUAUAUUAAGUUGAAUAAACGAAGUUCAGAUACUAAGACAGCUAGGAUGUUAGCUUGGAAGCAGCUAUUCAUUUAAAGAGUGCGUAACAGCUCACUAGUCGAGUAACUUUGCGCCGAAAAUGUACCGGGGCUAAGCAUAAUACCGAAGCUAUGGGUUUUAUAUUUAUAUAUAGGGCGGUAGGGGAGCGUUCUAACAGGGAUGAAGGUAGACCGUGAGGACUGCUGGACUGGUUAGAAGUGAGAAUGCCGGCAUGAGUAACGUUUGAGGGUGAGAAUCCCUCAUGCCGUUUGACCAAGGUUUCCUGGGCAAGGUUCGUCCACCCAGGGUUAGUCAGGACCUAAGGCGAGGCCGAAAGGCGUAGUCGAUGGACAACAGGUUGAUAUUCCUGUACCACCAUAUAGAGCGAUGGAGUGACGGAGAAGGAUAGUAUAUCCCGGUUAUUGGAUUCCGGGCUAAGCACAAAGAGGGUAAGGUUGGCAAAUCCGCCUUGCAUAACCUUGAAGUGUGAUGGGGAGUGAACGGUUCGCCUAGUAACGAAGUAUAUGACUCCAUGCUUCCAAGAAAAGCUUCUAGCACUAUUUAUAUGGUGCCUGUACCUAGAACGAACACACGUGGUCAAGGAGAGAAUCCUAAGGCAAGCGAGAUAACUGUAGCUAAGGAACUCUGCAAAAUAACCCCGUAAGUUAGCGAGAAGGGGUGCUCAUAGCAAUAUGAGCCGCAGUGAAGAGGAAGGGGCAACUGUUUAGCAAAAACACAGCUCUCUGCUAAGUCGUAAGACGACGUAUAGGGGGUGACGCCUGCCCAGUGCUGGAAGGUUAAGGGGAUUUGUUAGCAUUAGCGAAGCUUUGAACCGAAGCCCCAGUGAACGGCGGCCGUAACAAUAACGGUCCUAAGGUAGCGAAAUUCCUUGUCAGGUAAGUUCUGACCCGCACGAAAGGCGUAAUGAUCCCUUCGCUGUCUCGGCUGCAGACUCGGUGAAAUUUUAGUACCUGUGAAGAUGCAGGUUACCCGCAACUAGACGGAAAGACCCCAUGGAGCUUUACUAUAGCUUGAUAUUGGGUUUUGAUAUAGCAUGUAUAGGAUAGGUGGGAGACUUUGAAGCAGCGACGCUAGUUGUUGUGGAGUCAUCCUUGGAAUACCACCCUUGCUAUGUCGGAAUCCUAACCUAGAUCUGUUAGCCAGAUCAGAGACAGUGUCAGGUGGGUAGUUUGACUGGGGCGGUCGCCUCCUAAAAUGUAACGGAGGCGCCCAAAGGUACCCUCAGUAUGGUCGGAAAUCAUACAUAGAGCGCAAAGGUAGAAGGGUGCUUGACUGUGAGACUUACAAGUCGAACAGGAGCGAAAGCUGGGCUUAGUGAUCCGGCGGUCCCGUGUGGAAGGGCCGUCGCUCAACGGAUAAAAGUUACCCUGGGGAUAACAGGCUGAUCUCCCCCAAGAGUUCACAUCGACGGGGAGGUUUGGCACCUCGAUGUCGGCUCAUCGCAUCCUGGAGCUGAAGUUGGUUCCAAGGGUUGGGCUGUUCGCCCAUUAAAGCGGUACGCGAGCUGGGUUCAGAACGUCGUGAGACAGUUUGGUCCCUAUCUGUUGUGGGCGUAGGAAGUUUGAAGAGAUCUGUCCCUAGUACGAGAGGACCGGGAUGGACACACCUCUGGUGCUCCAGUUGUCACGCCAGUGGCACAGCUGGGUAGCUAUGUGUGGAAAUGAUAAUCGCUGAAGGCAUCUAAGCGAGAAGCAUACUUUAAGAUGAGACUUCCCAUCCUUCGUGGAGUAAGACCCCUUGA
Molecule: ribosomal RNA, 2811 nt
Filed under: Panchlora nivea
Lineage: Eukaryota; Metazoa; Arthropoda; Insecta; Blattodea; Blaberidae
Description: bacterial LSU rRNA
Rfam family: Bacterial large subunit ribosomal RNA
Source: RNAcentral